GUAUAACUUGUUUCUCGUAGAUAAGUCCAUGAAACAAUCAAAAGAAUCUGAAGAAACAACAUCUGAACAAGACUGAUCAGCCUAGAAGGAAUUGUCUGACACCGAGAACCUAAGUGAUGUAUCGAAGAUAUAUUGUGGGACAUAAUUUAAAAAGUCUGGUACAUGAAAUUAUUUUAAUGACAGAAACACAUCAAAGUACACAGUGAGGAAUAAUACAAACUAAUGUAUAAGAUUGUCAUCUGAAAAAAAAAUAAAAAAAGAUUCCCGAUCUAAGGUAUGUUUUCUAUAUUUAAAGAGGUAUAACAUCUUUCCUGGAUAAGGCGAUUGUCCUAUUCUCCCUGUUUGUGGCUGAGGAUGAAUGACAACAGAAGAAAAUGUACUGCACAGAGGAACUCACAGUUAAAUACAUGGGAUACACACAUCCUCAUAGGCAUAAUAAUGAUUCUAUUUAAUUUCUUUUGGGUUGUGGAAGACCAUAACCUUAAACAUUUGUUUUCUUUUUUGAUUAUGUCUUAUUUCUUAAUUCCACUAGUCAACCUCUAAAAUGGAUGGUGGUCACAGUUUCUAACAGGUUAAUAGAAUAUUGUUAGUAAUCCAUUUAUGCAAUUGUGUGAUUUAUAUUGAUUUUAGCCCCAUUACAAUUAUGUUUUAAAUUUGUACCAGAGUGAAGACUCGGCCUGUGGGGUAUCUGCGCAUUGUGUAUAACUUUGCAAACCACAAAUUCCAUUGCCUGUUCAAAGCGAAGUUAACAUAACAAUUUAUUUUGUCAUUUAGAGCAGAUUUAUUACAGAACACAAACAAUAUGUAUAGUAUGUAUAGAAUUAUCACUUUUCACUGUUCUAAACUUGUACAGACUAUAUUUUAUUUUUAAAAGAAAGUACAAUUAUGGUAAUUGACUUAACAUAUACAUAUAUAUUAGUAAUACUUCAGAAUUUUAAAGGAUUUUGAAAUGACAUCAUUUUUAAAAGUAUCUGGAGAGGUUUUAUAAUCAAGUUAAAAAUAUUAAAGAAUAAGCAGAUUUAGGAAGUGUUUAUUGGUAAUUUUUCAUAUAUUGUACUGCUUACGUAUCAUACAAAAUAUUGUAAAACUGCAUACUUAAAGCCAAGAUAAAGUGGAACAGGCAAUAUAUGGAAUAUGUGGGUGAUGUAUAAAUAAAAUAAAUAUUUCAUUAUGUCUAUAUGCAAUUCACAGUUCAUGAG
Pelobates cultripes (western spadefoot toad) is the source of this 1199-nucleotide non-coding RNA. NCBI's taxonomy places the organism in Eukaryota, Metazoa, Chordata, Amphibia, Anura, Pelobatidae. The record is from the annotation of a GenBank genome assembly.